This 492-nucleotide ribosomal RNA is filed under the name uncultured bacterium. RNAcentral's name for it is "partial 16S ribosomal RNA". It matches the Rfam family "Bacterial small subunit ribosomal RNA", at positions 29 to 507 of the family's 1533-position model. The record is from RNAcentral.
AGUGAACGCUGGCGGUAGGCCUAACACAUGCAAGUCGAACGGCAGCACAGUAAGAGCUUGCUCUUACGGGUGGCGAGUGGCGGACGGGUGAGGAAUACAUCGGAAUCUACUUUUUCGUGGGGGAUAACGUAGGGAAACUUACGCUAAUACCGCAUACGACCUACGGGUGAAAGCAGGGGAUCUUCGGACCUUGCGCGAUUGAAUGAGCCGAUGUCGGAUUAGCUAGUUGGCGGGGUAAAGGCCCACCAAGGCGACGAUCCGUAGCUGGUCUGAGAGGGUGAUCAGCCACACUGGAACUGAGACACGGUCCAGACUCCUACGGGAGGCAGCAGUGGGGAGUAUUGGACAAUGGGCGCAAGCCUGAUCCAGCCAUACCGCGUGGGUGAAGAAGGCCUUCGGGUUGUAAAGCCCUUUUGUUGGGAAAGAAAAGCAGCAGGUUAAUACCCCGCUGUUCUGACGGUACCCAAAGAAUAAGCACCGGCUAACUUCGUG